UUAGUCUGCAUAUGUGUAAGAUCUACAUGCGUAAGUGAAGGAACCUCUUGUCUAUGUUUGGGUGAGCUCAGUGGUGAUAGGGAGGGUCUAACUGUGCCUUUUUCGACCUUGUGUAGAACUGACAUCCUUUGGCAGACAGGAAGCUCAGUUAGAGAUCUUAAUCAAGAGUGGCUAUUAUGACUGAGAUGUUAAACAUGUAUGGCGUCAGGAGUAGAUCAAUCUUAAGUAUAUAAACCCUGUGCAAUGUAAGUAAAAUUCCUUCACUUUCAUCCUUGUGCUGUCAGUGAGCUCGAUUGCAAUUGUUAUGGAAUUAAUAUACUGAUCUACAACUCCGAGUCCUGAGAUAACUUGAGAGUGAAUUUUUGUAGAUCUUACACAUAUGCAGCUGCACCUGAACUGGUAAGUGUUUGGCAACAUUGCGCAAUAGUGAAUUUCAGACACUGAAGGCCUGUUAGAACUUGAGCUCACUUCCCAUGCCAGUUUACUGAAAUGCACCACCCCUUCUACGCACCCUUUUAAGAACUAUUUAUAUAGCACCUGUCUUCUAGAUUCACAUUUAUACCAAAGAGCAUAUUGAGCAAAGACGCCAUGUCGAAGGGCAAAGCUGUACCCUACUGGAACCUGUCGGUUACUGUCCUGCAUGCAAAACUGAAAUGGUCACAUGACUACUUUUCGGAGUCGGACUGCUACGUGAUUCUGAGGCUCCCCACGUC
This is a long non-coding RNA of Clupea harengus (Atlantic herring), 713 nucleotides long. NCBI's taxonomy places the organism in Eukaryota, Metazoa, Chordata, Actinopteri, Clupeiformes, Clupeidae. The record is from Ensembl.